RNAcentral lists this transfer RNA (72 nucleotides) under Schistocerca americana (American grasshopper). Its description in RNAcentral is "tRNA-Pro". It matches the Rfam family "tRNA". Rfam says of the family: Transfer RNA (tRNA) molecules are approximately 80 nucleotides in length. Their secondary structure includes four short double-helical elements and three loops (D, anti-codon, and T loops). The record is from RNAcentral. Lineage: Eukaryota; Metazoa; Arthropoda; Insecta; Orthoptera; Acrididae.
GGCUCGUUGGUCUAGGGGUAUGAUUCCUGCUUCGGGUGCAGGAGGUCCCGGGUUCAAAUCCCGAAGGAGCCC